AGCGGCGGACGGGUGAGUAAUGCCUAGGAAUCUGCCUGGUAGUGGGGGACAACGUCUCGAAAGGGACGCUAAUACCGCAUACGUCCUACGGGAGAAAGCAGGGGACCUUCGGGCCUUGCGCUAUCAGAUGAGCCUAGGUCGGAUUAGCUAGUUGGUGAGGUAAUGGCUCACCAAGGCGACGAUCCGUAACUGGUCUGAGAGGAUGAUCAGUCACACUGGAACUGAGACACGGUCCAGACUCCUACGGGAGGCAGCAGUGGGGAAUAUUGGACAAUGGGCGAAAGCCUGAUCCAGCCAUGCCGCGUGUGUGAAGAAGGUCUUCGGAUUGUAAAGCACUUUAAGUUGGGAGGAAGGGCAUUAACCUAAUACGUUAGUGUUUUGACGUUACCGACAGAAUAAGCACCGGCUAACUCUGUGCCAGCAGCCGCGGUAAUACAGAGGGUGCAAGCGUUAAUCGGAAUUACUGGGCGUAAAGCGCGCGUAGGUGGUUUGUUAAGUUGGAUGUGAAAGCCCCGGGCUCAACCUGGGAACUGCAUUCAAAACUGACAAGCUAGAGUAUGGUAGAGGGUGGUGGAAUUUCCUGUGUAGCGGUGAAAUGCGUAGAUAUAGGAAGGAACACCAGUGGCGAAGGCGACCACCUGGACUGAUACUGACACUGAGGUGCGAAAGCGUGGGGAGCAAACAGGAUUAGAUACCCUGGUAGUCCACGCCGUAAACGAUGUCAACUAGCCGUUGGGAGCCUUGAGCUCUUAGUGGCGCAGCUAACGCAUUAAGUUGACCGCCUGGGGAGUACGGCCGCAAGGUUAAAACUCAAAUGAAUUGACGGGGGCCCGCACAAGCGGUG
This 844-nucleotide ribosomal RNA is filed under the name Pseudomonas sp. Its description in RNAcentral is "bacterial SSU rRNA". It matches the Rfam family "Bacterial small subunit ribosomal RNA", at positions 94 to 934 of the family's 1533-position model. The record is from RNAcentral. Lineage: Bacteria; Pseudomonadati; Pseudomonadota; Gammaproteobacteria; Pseudomonadales; Pseudomonadaceae.